This 253-nucleotide ribosomal RNA is filed under the name uncultured bacterium. RNAcentral describes it as "partial 16S ribosomal RNA". It matches the Rfam family "Bacterial small subunit ribosomal RNA", at positions 524 to 776 of the family's 1533-position model. The record is from RNAcentral.
UACGAAGGGGGCUAGCGUUGUUCGGAUUUACUGGGCGUAAAGCGCACGUAGGCGGAUUGUUAAGUCAGGGGUGAAAUCCCAGAGCUCAACUCUGGAACUGCCUUUGAUACUGGCAAUCUCGAGUCCGGAAGAGGUGAGUGGAACUCCUAGUGUAGAGGUGGAAUUCGUAGAUAUUAGGAAGAAUACCUGUGGCGAAGGCGGCCAGCUGGGCCAGGUCCGACACUGAGGCGCGAAAGCGUGGGGAGCAAACAGG